CUCUGUGACUCCUACGGGAGGCAGCAGUGGGGAAUAUUGCACAAUGGGCGCAAGCCUGAUGCAGCAACGCCGUGUGAGUGAAGAAGGUUUUCGGAUCGUAAAACUCUGUCCUAAGGGAAGAACAAAUGACGGUACCUUAGGAGGAAGCCCCGGCUAACUACGUGCCAGCAGCCGCGGUAAUACGUAGGGGGCAAGCGUUAUCCGGAAUCACUGGGCGUAAAGGGUGCGUAGGCGGCUUGACAAGCCAGGGGUGAAAGGCAUUGGCUCAACCAAUGUAAGCCUUUGGAACUGUUAAGCUUGAGUGCAGGAGAGGUAAGUGGAAUUCCUAGUGUAGAGGUGAAAUUCGUAGAUAUUAGGAGGAACACCAGUGGCGAAGGCGACUUACUGGACUGUAACUGACGCUGAUGCACGAAAGCGUGGGUAGCGAACAGGAUUAGAUACCCUGGUAG
This 449-nucleotide ribosomal RNA is filed under the name uncultured bacterium. RNAcentral describes it as "bacterial SSU rRNA". It matches the Rfam family "Bacterial small subunit ribosomal RNA", at positions 328 to 793 of the family's 1533-position model. The record is from RNAcentral.